Molecule: long non-coding RNA, 4509 nt
Organism: Puntigrus tetrazona (Sumatra barb)
Lineage: Eukaryota; Metazoa; Chordata; Actinopteri; Cypriniformes; Cyprinidae
Exons: 4
Source: RefSeq, a predicted model, not a curated record
GAAGCGAAUUGAACGAAUACGGUUUAAAAGGCACGAUUUCAGAUCACCGCGACCGUCCUUAUAAGGUGUUUUUAGCAGGUACCAGCUGUCAUUGGCUAUUCUGGAAAAGGGGCGGGGAGAAGCAGCUCAUUUGCAUUUAAAAAGACAGGUGCGCAAAUCGGCCUUUUUUCCCGCUUCCGCUCAAAACAGGCAUUUUCCGAAUAAUAUAAUAAAUGAUCUGUGGGGUGUUUUGAGCUGAAGCUUCACAGACACAUAGACCAGAGGCGUAAUAUGUCUCCUUUAAAGGAACAGUUCAGCGGAAACGAGAUAGAUGAGUUCGUUUGGAGCGACGGAUGCUCUGCAGUGAAUGGGUGCCGCGAGGAUGAGGGUCCAAACUGUUCGUAAGUCAAAAGCUGCGGUGCAGGCAAGAAACAAAUCCAUCUUCGACACAUUUCGAAGUUGCUCUUGCCACGAAGUGCAACAUUUGCUCCGGUGAAAGUCCAGAUUUCUCUCGAUUCGGACCAGAUGCUAUUCACCGAAACGUUAUUGUAUGAUGAUGGGCAGGCGCAGUUAUUCCAUGAUGGUUAUUUCUUCCAAACACGCAGCUUUCGUACUGUCCAGACGGACUGGGGCGUCGUGGAUCAUUGUGACGCUCGUUCCCACGGCACCCAUUCGCUCUAGUGCAUCCGUCGCUCAGCGGCGCUGGGUUUCUCCAAAAUCGACGAAGACUCAAACUCGUGUAGAUCUCGGAUGGCCUGGGGGGCGAAUGAAGCUUCAUUUUAAGCGGCACUAGACGCACGCGAGCGCGAUCGAUUCAGUUGCCGGAGAAGGCCGCUCAGCGCUGUAAUGGACUCAGGGUUCGAUUGAUUGGAUCAGGAUUUCCUGAUGGUCCCGGUCUUUAAGCGUGUUUAUCUGAGGUCUUUUAACAUAUUUAAAGAUAACCUGCUAAACAUGUGAUCUCACUUUCCGGCUGUAGGAAAACCCCCGCUUCGCUUUUGUGUUGUUUGUUUACAUAUUUCUACAUAUAAAUGCAUACGUGAAUAUAUAUGCUCAUGGUAAUUUUAUUCUUGGAUAAAUGUGCUUGUGUUUUUGUUUCCACUGAUGUCUCGUGUGUUUGUUUCUAACCACAUCACGCGUCAGAUUGAAGCAGGGAGCCAAUAACAGACAGGAAGCGGUGAAAGGACACAGGAAACGGCUCGUUUUUGGUUUUCCACUGAUGUUUUUUUUUCUUGGUGGUGGAAAAAUUGUGAUUCUGGAGCACGCAUGCUCUCGCCUCAGGUCUGGUAACUGUAAAAACACUGAUUAAUAGAUGCAUACGACGUAUUUCACUGCAAAGGUUCGGAUUUUAUACUAUUUUAUUUGUAGUUAAAUAAAUAUCAAUGCAUUAAAUCGAGCUAAAUUUGUGAUGUUACGCUGGAUCGUGUGACAGUAACGGUGCCGAAACUUCAUCUUUGAUCGCAGAAAUAAAUUGCAUUUUGCAACCAAUUCACACAGAAAUCUGAUAUUUUAAAUGACAAUAAUAUUUAACAUUUUUACAGCAUUUUUGAUCAAAUAAAUGCAGCAUUUUUACAACAAGUGCUGUUUAAUAGGCAAACGUAAUGCAAAACGCUUAUGCAAAACAAAUACGACGUGCAAUGAAGUUCACCGCAGACUUUUUUUGUCUUGAAUAGAUUAUAUAAUCUCUAUUGAGUUGAUUGUGUUUUAUAGCGGCAGCUCUGUUGAGUGGGUGUCACAUUUCCUAUUGUCACUGUUGCGUGGCAACCUUUCAAAACCCAAGCUUCACCAGCAGCACCGAAGCCUCUUCAAUGGAAAAGCGAACGAACCAUCACGCAGAAAUAUGUCUGCCUCGAAAAAAGAAGGUUUGGGAGUCUUUCCACUCAAACACCUUCAGGAUCUUCGACGAGACGUUGCCGGAGCGUCUCGAACCAGUCUGGGUCUAUCAGAACCAUGGAAAACCCGCAGGAGAACCGCGAGAGCCGGAGAACCGCAACGUCCCACAUCCUCACAACGCCGGCUUCAUCAGGACUAACGUCAGGUUCCUUAAUGAGCCCAUCGCUCACAUGAAGACGGGACGCACUGACACUGAACAGCGGUCAAACGCUCCUGAAGGAGAUGGACUCGUGAAAGCAGCGUACAGUAAAGGCGAACCAAGUGCGUUUGCUGGCUCAUCUGUACGAAUCAGCUCCUUUUACAGUGACACGUGGCUUUUUAAUUGUUUGCAGUUCCCUUGAACAAUCAGAAGAACGACAGGAUUUUCCUGGAUGUGAAUGAUCAGCCCUCUUAAAAGAGAGCCGCCAUCUUUGCAAAGGAUUGUGGGAUACGUCGACAUCUUCUGUAUUGUGUUCACUCGUGCGGUCAGUUCUCCAUGUCUUUCGGUUUUAUUCAUGCCUCUAAAUAAAGAAAAAGCCGAAAGCAAACAGAUGCAGGGACCGUUUAUCUGUAGAUGCCGUAGAUUCAUAAAUCAACUGUUUUUUUUAAAGUGACAGCACUGUUACGGUUAUUCAGGCUUAGGUGUUUUACAGCUAGCAUACUCUCGAAAAUGAACGGCGGCGGAGCUUUCGGAGAUAUGAGAAAUGACUCUGUAAAGGAAUGAAUCACGUCAGAUCUACACACCCCUCUUUUCCUCCGAACUGACUCCUGGCUGGCCUCGGGCUUUGUGUCGAAGCGUUUUAUAAAGCUGCGUUCAUCCUUCGGUGCGCAUGUGCCAGACUCUUCAGCCAAAAGUGAACAUUUGCUGAAAGUGUCCUCGUCCGCGAGCCAUCCAAGAGGCAGAUGAGUUCGUUUUUGAGACGAUUUGGAGAAAUGCAGCGUUGCGCCAGUGUCUCAGCAAUGGAUGUGAAUGGGUGCCGUCGGAAUGAGCGCUGAUAAAAACAUCACGGGAAUCCACAGCGCUCCAGUCCAACCAUAAGUGCCUCAAAAAGGCCAAAGCUGCGUGUUUUGUAAGAAACACGUCUUUCGUUGAGACGCUUUUGUCUCCAAAGCAGCUAAAAUGCAAAUCUAUAGUAACAACUCCUACUCCAGUGGAAAAAAAAGUAGUCUGAUCUGAAUCAGGAGAGAAAUCUGCACAAAACAAGCAUCGUUUAUGAGCCAGAAGAGCUCUAAACCAGUGCAGCAAUGGAUGUGAAUGGGUGCCGUCGGAAUGGGCGCUGAUAAAAACAUCACAGGAAUCCACAGCGCUCCAGUCCAGCAUUAAGUGCCUUGAGAAGCCGAAAGCUGCGUGUUUUGUAAGAAACACGUCUUUCAUUAAAACACCUUUAUUUCCAAAGCGGCUAAAAUGCAAAUCUAUAGUAAUAACUCCUACUCCAGUGGAAAAAAAAGUAGUCUGAUCUGAAUCAGGAGAGAAAUCUGCACAAAACAAGCAUCGUUUAUGAGCCAGAAGAGCUCUAAACCAGUGCAGCAAUGGAUGUGAAUGGGUGCCGUCGGAAUGGGCGCUGAUAAAAACAUCACAGGAAUCCACAGCGCUCCAGUCCAGCAUUAAGUGCCUCAAAAAGGCCAAAGCUGCGUGUUUUGUAAGAAACACGUCUUUCGUUAAGACGCUUUUGUCUCCAAAGCGGCUAAAAUGCAAAUCUAACUCCUACUCCAGUAGAAAAAAAAGUAGUCUGAUCUGAAUCAGGAGAGAAAUCUGCACAAAACAAGCAUCGUUUACGAGCCAGAAGAGCUCUAAACCAGUGCAGCAAUGGAUGUGAAUGGGUGCCGUCGGAAUGGGCGCUGAUAAAAACAUCACAGAGAAAGAAACACGUCUUUCAUCAAAAAGGUUGUGGCUGGGUUUUGAUGUAAGAGACAACAGGAGUUAUUACGGCCUUGAUGCCUUUGUUUCUUGGAUUCACAAGGCAUUAAACCGACGGACCGGAGUGUGGAUUAUUGGGAUGUUUCAUCAGCACUAAUUCCGACGGCACCCAUUCACCGCAGAGACCCUGACGCAGUGAAGAAACAAACCCAUCUGCAUCUUGGAUGGCCCCGAGGAAGAGCGCAUUUUAAACUAUUCCUUUAAAGAAGGAGUUCUGAUCUCGUUUUUGGUCCGAACCCAGGCGGACGCGGCGCUCUUUGGCGUACCGUUGCUUUAAAUCUUUCCCCUGCUCUUUCUCUGUCUCGUGACGAGAGACGGGGCCCGGCACAUUCCAGAGCGCAGAGGGGUCGCGUUUGCCCUCGGCGGGGACGGCAGACCCGGUGAACUGCUCUCAGCUCAACAGAUGUGGGAGAGAAAAGAGGCCCGUCCCGGCGGAGAGAGAGACCAGCGUUCCCAGAGACCGAGGGGAAUCCCUUUCGCUCGGCCGGGACAGCAAACCCAACAUCUAAAGAUCGUAUUUCACCUCAAAAAACACUGUUCCCAUCACGCAUUCAUAGCAUACUCAUUGCAGUUACGUAAAUGUAUGUUAUAGAUAAUAUUGAUAAAUUAUGUAUAGAAUACGGCCAAGAUUAUAGUGAGCUUAACUCACUGUAUGUUCAUAAAGUUUGCACUUUUCAGAGUUUAGUAUUAUUUAUUAAAUAUUAAUAACCAUUAGUAUGUAUUCAUAUUUUGAAUGAGCUCGU